UACGGAGGGUGCGAGCGUUGUCCGGAAUCACUGGGCGUAAAGGGUGCGUAGGCGGCUGGAGGAGUCCGUGGUGAAAGCUCGUGGCUCAACUGCGAGUCGGCCAAGGAUACUCUUCAGCUUGAGCACUGUAGAGGCAGAUGGAAUUCCGGGUGUAGCGGUGGAAUGCGUAGAGAUUAGGAAGAACACCAGUGGCGAAGGCGACUUACUGGACUGUAACUGACGCUGAGGCAUGAAAGCGUGGGGAGCAAACAGG
This 253-nucleotide ribosomal RNA is filed under the name uncultured bacterium. Its description in RNAcentral is "partial 16S ribosomal RNA". It matches the Rfam family "Bacterial small subunit ribosomal RNA", at positions 524 to 776 of the family's 1533-position model. The record is from RNAcentral.